This 468-nucleotide ribosomal RNA is filed under the name uncultured bacterium. RNAcentral's name for it is "partial 16S ribosomal RNA". It matches the Rfam family "Bacterial small subunit ribosomal RNA", at positions 28 to 507 of the family's 1533-position model. The record is from RNAcentral.
GACGAACGCUGGCGGCGUGCUUAACACAUGCAAGUCGAACGGAAAGGCCCUGCUUUUGUGGGGUGCUCGAGUGGCGAACGGGUGAGUAACACGUGAGUAACCUGCCCUUGACUUUGGGAUAACUUCAGGAAACUGGGGCUAAUACCGGAUAGGAGCUCCUGCUGCAUGGUGGGGGUUGGAAAGUUUCGGCGGUUGGGGCUGGACUCGCGGCUUAUCAGCUUGUUGGUGGGGUAGUGGCUUACCAAGGCUUUGACGGGUAGCCGGCCUGAGAGGGUGACCGGCCACAUUGGGACUGAGAUACGGCCCAGACGCCUACGGGAGGCAGCAGUGGGGAGUAUUGCACAAUGGGCGGAAGCCUGAUGCAGCAACGCCGCGUGCGGGAUGACGGCCUUCGGGUUGUAAACCGCUUUCGCCUGUGACGAAGCGUGAGUGACGGUAAUGGGUAAAGAAGCACCGGCUAACUACGUG